Paramormyrops kingsleyae is the source of this 165-nucleotide small nuclear RNA. Its record names the gene U1. It matches the Rfam family "U1 spliceosomal RNA". From Rfam's summary of the family: U1 is a small nuclear RNA (snRNA) component of the spliceosome (involved in pre-mRNA splicing). Its 5' end forms complementary base pairs with the 5' splice junction, thus defining the 5' donor site of an intron. NCBI's taxonomy places the organism in Eukaryota, Metazoa, Chordata, Actinopteri, Osteoglossiformes, Mormyridae. The record is from Ensembl.
AUACUUACCUGGCAGAGGAGAUACCAUGAUCACGAAGGUGCUUCACCCAGGGUGAGGCUCAGCCAUUGCGCUGCAGCUGUGCUAACCCCUGCGAAUUCCUCAAAUGUGGGAAUCUCCACUGCAUAAUUUCUGGUAGUGGGUGGACUGCAUUUGUGCUCUCCCCUC